RNAcentral lists this ribosomal RNA (426 nucleotides) under uncultured bacterium. Its description in RNAcentral is "partial 16S ribosomal RNA". It matches the Rfam family "Bacterial small subunit ribosomal RNA", at positions 355 to 774 of the family's 1533-position model. The record is from RNAcentral.
UGGGGAAUAUUGGACAAUGGGCGAAAGCCUGAUCCAGCAAUACCGCGUGUGUGAAGAAGGCCUUCGGGUUGUAAAGCACUUUAAGUUGGGAAGAAAAAACUUCACCUAAUACGUGAAGUCUUGACGGUACCGACAGAAUAAGCACCGGCUAACUCUGUGCCAGCAGCCGCGGUAAUACAGAGGGUGCUAGCGUUAAUCGGAUUUACUGGGCGUAAAGCGUGCGUAGGUGGUUUGAUAAGUCGGUUGUGAAAGCCCCGGGCUCAACCUGGGAAUUGCGGCCGAUACUGUCAGACUCGAAAACGGUAGAGGGAGGUGGAACUCCAGGUGUAGCGGUGAAAUGCGUAGAUAUCUGGAAGAACAUCGAUGGCGAAGGCAGCCUCCUGGGCCUGUUUUGACACUGAGGCACGAAAGCGUGGGUAGCAAACA